GAGAAAUGGUUCUUCGUCACAGGACCAGAAAUCUCUACUCUUCCAGAUUGGACCAUCUCAGAUCGGAUCUCUGCUGACUUUGGAGAUAUUCCCGAAGAGCGUGUGAAGGAGAUGGGAGACUUUCUGAAGAAGAUUCCUCCAAAAGAAUGGAGUUUUACACUUCUGACCAAACAAGCCUGGCUGUACGAUCACAAACGUAAG
RNAcentral lists this long non-coding RNA (201 nucleotides) under Panax ginseng (ginseng). RNAcentral describes it as "long non-coding RNA (PGIN_LNC005874)". The record is from RNAcentral. Lineage: Eukaryota; Viridiplantae; Streptophyta; Magnoliopsida; Apiales; Araliaceae.